UAAGUACUCCCUCCGUUCGGAAUUACUUGUUGCAUAACUGGAUGUAUCUAGAUGUAUUUUAGUUCUAGAUACAUCCAUUUUCGAGACAAGUAAUUCCGAACGGAGGGAGUAGUUU
Molecule: non-coding RNA, 115 nt
Organism: Triticum aestivum (bread wheat)
Lineage: Eukaryota; Viridiplantae; Streptophyta; Magnoliopsida; Poales; Poaceae
Source: Rfam